Molecule: RNA transcript, 1389 nt
Organism: Cervus elaphus (red deer)
Lineage: Eukaryota; Metazoa; Chordata; Mammalia; Artiodactyla; Cervidae
Gene: ERICH4
Gene name: glutamate rich 4
Exons: 3
Source: RefSeq, a predicted model, not a curated record
CCAGAGGGGCUGAGGUUGGAUCCCUGUGAACUGACCUGAUGUUACACUUCAAUUUAAACACACACAUACGCGCGCGCGCGCGCGCGCACACACACACACACACACACACACACACACACACAUCCUCCCCCACACACGAAGCCGCUGAUCCUCCGUGGAGAACGGACUUUGUGAUGCCAGGGGGUGCUCCCCCACCCUCCACUGCCCUUUACUCCCCUCCCCCCCGCCCCCAACUCCCCAGGGGCUAGGUCACUCUGGACCUUGCUACUUCCUGUUCCUGGCUGCCGCAGUUCAGAGGCUAUGGAGCUCUGGAAGAAGCUGAGGCAGGCUGGACUGGUGCCCCCAGGGCUGGGCCCACCCCCGCGGGCCCUGAGGGGAGUCCCCCCAGCGGAGAAGGCGGGUCAGACCCUCGCGUCCCCAGGGGCUGGCGCUGGAGGUGCCAGGGAGAGUCUGCUGUGGAUCUGGGAGGAGCUGGGGAACCUCCGCCGAGUGGAUGUCCAGCUGCUGGGCCAGCUGUGCAGCCUGGGACUGGAGAUGGGGGCACUGCGGGAGGAACUGGUGGCCUUCCUGGAAGAGGAGGCAGAGGAGAACACCGAGGAAGAGGAGGAGGAGGACAGAGAGCUGAAAGGGAAACUGGAGGGGGCCUCCAGUCCAGUCCCUGGCCACCACCGCCCCCCUGACUUUGAGAUGACUAUCUGAGGUCCUGCCAGUGUGCUUCCAGUGGACACGUGAAUGAUACGCAAAUUUAUGUUUAUAACUACAAGUCGACCAGUAAGCCAAAAUUUUUCUUAGGAGGCUGUCUGAUGGAAUCAAAGAAGCAUUUUCCAAUUUUGACCAGACAUGAGUGAACCAAAUACAAACCAGACCUCACCAGCUGAUGAAAGCCUAUAGCAGGGGAAGAAAAACAGAAAGCAUAAAGCUCAGAGUGGCUGCUUCCAAUUCCUGCUCAGCCUGUGGUUUUUGUCCAACUAGUCUCACAGGUGGAAUUUCCAAAAUGAAAUACCCAGAUGGAAGCUGAAUGUUCCCCAGAUGGAAUUGAAAGUGUUGCUGAACCACACAAAGAUGCCGGGAUUCUUGGCCUCCAGAGGACAAGAAUUCAAUCCGGGGUCAGAGACAAGGCUUGAUCACUCAGAGUUUUUUGUGUAAUAAAGUUUUAUUAAAGUAUAAAGGAGAUAGAGAAAGCUUCUGACAUAGGCAUCAGAAGGGGGCAGAAAGAGUACCCCCUUGCUAGUGUCAGCAAUGGAAUUAUGUACUCUCUAAUUAGUUGUUAGAGUGAAUCAAAAGAAUGUCGGGAGGUUGUAAAGACCUCACUAGACCUACUCCCAUAAUUUACACCUUAAGAUAACAGGAUUAGCCAGAAGGUUUUUCUAGAGACUGUCCUCAAGCAGG